UAUAUAAUGGAGGAAUAGCUCCCAAGCAAAAGUUUUAUAUUAUAUAAUGUUGAAUGUGAAUUGUUCAUGUAUGUUUUAUUUGUAAACAAAUGCGGAAAAUGGUAAUAAACAGUUAAAUGAUAAAUAUUAAGUAAUUAUUGACUGAAAACAAGCUCACAUCUUUUUGAAAAGAUAGUUGUAAGUUAAUUCUGUUUUCAUUAAAGUGAAAGAAGACAUUUACACUGGAAACUAAACCUAAAAAGUGGGGUCCGGAGCUCCCCCGAGGGUAUGAAAAUGAUAUCCAGAAUCGUUAUUAUGUGAAACCCGUGGUGCACAGAGGGCCAAAAUACGAAAAACCUAAAUGAAUAACCACAUCAUAAAAUAAUUGUGGAUUUACUAUGAAACAAAUAACUGUAUCAAUGAAUGUCCAAUUGAAUAAUAAAAUAUACAUUUUAAGUAAUAUUAAAUAACAAAAUGUCACCUUUAAACAAUAAAUCACUCUGUGUUUAUUUAUUAAAUAAAUAUAUGUAGCAGAAAUAAAAAUGCACUUUUUUAACCUCUAUUUCAAAAUCAUGUUAUAUUGAGAAUUUGUGAAUUUUACCUCAUUGAGCUAUUUUUAUUUCCUGCUUAAUUAAUUUUGCCUGUGGGAAUCGCCUUUCUGCGCUCUGGCUGGUUUGUGCCUCCUGGGCUUCCGUAGCUCUUCCCGCUCUUCGCAGCUUCGCCUCCUGCUGUUUCCCCUCAGCCUGUUCUGCGCUGCUGAGGGAGCAGAGUGCACACAGAAAGGUGGAUAGAAGUGGAUUCAUAUGUUUUAAUCGCUUCUCCAGGUAUUUUAUUUUUGUUUAUUUAACUCUGCCCCAUUGUGUUAUGUGUUCAUGUGGCCACCAAGUGGCAUUUUCUUUCUCUUGUUCUUGUUUUCAUUUUUGUGAGGAGACUUAUGUAUUUUUUUGUUGUUGAAAAUUGACUUUAAAAAAGAAAUGUUAUUGUCCUAUUUCUUGGAUGGUUGCAAGCUGAACAAUUUAGGAACUCCUGGUGUAGAAAACAGAAAUAUUGUCAUAAGCAUAAUGAAAUCAAAUGAAAAAUCCUAACCAUUUCACUCUCCAGACAUGUGGAAACUCAAUGUUACUGCUUCAAAGUAAAAUAAUUGCACAUAGUAAGUCAUACGUAUAUAAUAUAACAUCAUAAUUUAUGAGAUUAAUCAUUAAGCAAUUCAAAAUUAUAAUUAUGAGAGUGAUUCAGUCACAGUUAUGCAGUUCAAUGCCAGGAUUAUGAGAUUAAAAAUCAGAAUCUGAUUAAACAUAAUAAUUAUAAGGUUAAGUGAUUCAAAAUUAUAACAAUGUAAUUGUCAUGUUUAUGAGAUUAAAAACUUUGAAAUAAUUUUUAAAAAUCAUAGUUAUGAAUAAUUAGUACUUAAUUGAUUUGAGUUUUGGGAAAUUACUGCAGCUGAAAUUAAAUAUGUCUUGGUUUUUAUUUGUAAUAUUUUCUUGGUAUUUUUCUACUUUCCAGGCUUGGAUUUGAGGAUCCCAGUUUUAUAAUAUUGGCAACAAUUAUAGAUGCAUGGCUAGUAAAUAAAAUCAAAAUAUCAAACCUUUAAUUAAAACUUGAAUUUGGGGUCAUAUUAUGUUAAAGACUUGCAUCAGUUUAUAGACAAUAUAUUUUGUCUCAAUAUUUCAGGAAUUGACUACAUCAGACGGCAGAUGGGAGAACCUGCCCUCCCUAGCAACCGUUACCAUGCUGCUGACAAUGAGUAUGAAAACGUCAAAUUCACUUUGAAGUUUUAGCUCGGCUGAAAGAAGACGAGUGAAGAAAACUCACAGAGUGAAGUGGAUGUCAGACCUACGGUCCCUUUGUGGAACCCCGGAUUACAGAAAGAGGAACUUUAUCAGCGAACAUCUUUGGAAAGUGAUGGAAAAAGCUGCAGACGGACCAAUACUUACUUUUGCUUUUAAUUUUGAGAAAACCUGGAGAAUUAGAUGUUUAUAUCAGUAUUGUUUCUUUUGCUCUGUAGUUCAGUAGUUCUUUGUGUUUCUAGUUAUGCUUUUCUUAGUUAGUCUUUGCCACUAGUUUUAUUUUGUUUCGUUAGUCUGGUUAUUCUUUAGUGAUAGAUUUUUUUGUGCACGCUCCCUCGCCCCCGUCUCUCUCUACUCAGUUGGACUUUCUCCCCUCACACCUGCGAUCAGUUUGCCAAUCAGUUCUUUGUUCAGAAAUCAACCUCCUAAUACUUAAGUUUUGAAUUUCAUCAUUAUUUUUAUUAAAUCAUCAAAUUCA
Molecule: long non-coding RNA, 2244 nt
Organism: Xiphophorus couchianus (Monterrey platyfish)
Lineage: Eukaryota; Metazoa; Chordata; Actinopteri; Cyprinodontiformes; Poeciliidae
Exons: 2
Source: RefSeq, a predicted model, not a curated record